This 253-nucleotide ribosomal RNA is filed under the name uncultured bacterium. RNAcentral describes it as "partial 16S ribosomal RNA". It matches the Rfam family "Bacterial small subunit ribosomal RNA", at positions 524 to 776 of the family's 1533-position model. The record is from RNAcentral.
UACGUAGGUGGCAAGCGUUGUUCGGAAUUAUUGGGCGUAAAGGGCGCGUAGGCGGCUUGUUAAGUCGGUUGUGAAAGCCCGGGGCUCAACCCCGGAGAGUCGACGGAUACUGGCGAGCUAGAGUACGGAAGAGGUAGCUAGAAUUCCCGGUGUAGCGGUGAAAUGCGUAGAUAUAGGGAGGAACACCUGAGGCGAAGGCGGGCUACUGGGCCGUUACUGACGCUGAGGCGCGAAAGCGUGGGGAGCAAACAGG